AGUGAACGCUGGCGGUAGGCCUAACACAUGCAAGUCGAACGGCAGCACAGUAAGUGCUUGCUCUUACGGGGGCCGAGUGGCGGGCGGUGCCGGGAUACCUCGGUAUCUACUUUUUCGAACGGCCUAACGCAGGCGAACAUACGGCAAUCCCGCAUACGACGUACGUGUGAGAGCUUGGGAUCUUAGGACCUCGCGCGAUUCGAGGUCGGAUUAGCUAGUUGGUGGGGUAAAGGCCUACCAAGGCGACGAUCCGUAACUGGUCUGAGAGGAUGAUCAGCCACACUGGAACUGAGACACGGUCCAGACUCCUACGGGAGGCAGCAGUGGGGAAUAUUGGACAAUGGGCGAAAGCCUGAUCCAGCCAUACCGCGUGUGUGAAGAAGGUCUUCGGGUUGUAAAGCACUUUUGUUGGGAAAGAAAAGCAGCAAGUUAAUACCUCGCUGUUCUGACGGUACCCAAAGAAUAAGCACCGGCUAACUUCGUG
Molecule: ribosomal RNA, 484 nt
Filed under: uncultured bacterium
Lineage: Bacteria
Description: partial 16S ribosomal RNA
Rfam family: Bacterial small subunit ribosomal RNA
Source: RNAcentral